Molecule: ribosomal RNA, 486 nt
Filed under: uncultured Chloroflexota bacterium
Lineage: Bacteria; Bacillati; Chloroflexota
Description: bacterial SSU rRNA
Rfam family: Bacterial small subunit ribosomal RNA
Source: RNAcentral
UUAGUGGCGAACGGCUGAGUAACGCGUAGGUGACCUACCCCGUAGUGUGGAAUAACUGCCCGAAAGGGUAGCUAAUACCGCAUGUUGAGCCGACAUCAAUGUCGUCUCCAAAGCAGAAAUGCGCUAUGGGCGGGGCCUGCGUUCGAUUAGCUAGUUGGUGGGGUAAUGGCUCACCAAGGCGACGAUCGAUAGGUGGUCUGAGAGGACGAUCACCCAGACUGGGACUGAGACACGGCCCAGACUCCUACGGGAGGCAGCAGUCGGGAAUUUUGCGCAAUGGGGGAAACCCUGACGCAGCAAUACCGCGUGUGGGAUGAAGGCCUUCGGGUCGUAAACCACUUUUUUCGGGGACGAUAAUGACGGUACCCGAAGAAUAAGCCACGGCUAACUACGUGCCAGCAGCCGCGGUAAUACGUAGGUGGCAAGCGUUGUCCGGAUUUACUGGGCGUAAAGCGCGCGCAGGCGGUGAAUGAAGUCGAAAGUGAA